Molecule: non-coding RNA, 754 nt
Filed under: Planopleura kaempferi
Lineage: Eukaryota; Metazoa; Arthropoda; Insecta; Hemiptera; Cicadidae
Source: RNAcentral
AAAAAGUUUUAUUCUAGCUUUUUUAUUAAAUAUUAAGUUAUAAUACAUGUGAUUAUAUUAGUUAUCAAAAAAUUCUAAAUGAAUUAUGUAAGUACGCAGUAUUUAAUAUUAUUAAUUAAUAAUAAUAGAAAUAGUAAUCUUAAUAAGAAGAGACCUAUAUUGUGCCAGCAGUCGCGGUUAUACAAUUUCUUCAAUUUAAUAUUUAAAGUUACAGUUAAAAUUAAUAUUAAUAUUAAAACGAUAAAAAUUUUAGUGAAAUAACAUUUUUUUUUUUGCUUUAUUUUAUGUCUGAUAAACUUUAAUUUAAACUAGGAUUAGAUACCCUACUAUUAAAAGCUUAAUUAAUAUAACUUGAUUAUUAAUAGAUAUGAUCUUUAAAUUCAAAGAAUUUGGCGGUAAUUUAUCUAAUCAGAGGAAUCUGUUCCAUAAAUUGAUAAUCCACGAUAGAAUAAACUUAUAAAUUAUACUUGUAUAUCGCUGUCAAGAAUGUUCUUUUAAGACAUUUUCUUUUUUUUUAUUAAAAUAAAUGUCAAGUCAAGGUGCAGUUAUUAUAUAAGAGGAAAUGGGUUACAUUAUUUAUAAUUAUGAAUUCUUAAAAUUUAAGUUUAUAUGAAAUUGGAUUUGAUAGUUAAAUAAUUAAAUUUAAUUAUUUGAAAUUAGCACUAAAUUAUGCACACAUCGCCCGUCACUCUCAUUAUUUAAAUGAGAAAAGUCGUAACAAAGUAGCCGUACCGGAAGGUGUGGCUAGAAAGAU